GUGUCCCAGGUCUAAAUCAGGCCCUGAUCUGUGCUGCUGUCACUAAAUACAACCUGUGACGUUGAUAUAGACCAGGGGGUAUUUUCAAAUGUUACCGUUCGAUAUCUGGACUACUGCUACUUUUCUGUUGUACCUGAUCAUUAAUAUCACCCCACCUGGUGUCCCAGGUCUAAAUCAGGCCCUGAUCAUUAAUAUCACCCCACCUGGUGUCCCAGGUCUAAAUCAGGCCCUGAUUAGAGGAGAAUCACCCACCUGGUAUCCCAGGUCUAAAUCAGGCCCUGAUUAGAGGAGAAUCACCCACCUGGUGUCCCAGGUCUAAAUCAGGCCCUGAUUAGAGGAGAAUCACCCACCUGGUGUCCCAGGUCUAAAUCAGGCCCUGAUUAGAGGAGAAUCACCCACCUGGUGUCCCAGGUCUAAAUCAGGCCCUGAUUAGAGGAGAAUCACCCACCUGGUGUCCCAGGUCUAAAUCAGGCCCUGAUUAGAGGGGAAUCACCCACCUGGUGUCCCAGGUCUAAAUCAGGCCCUGAUUAGAGGGGAAUCACCCACCUGGUGUCCCAGGUCUAAAUCAGGCCCUGAUUAGAGGGGAAUCACCCACCUGGUGUCCCAGGUCUAAAUCAGGCCCUGAUUAGAGGAGAACAAUGGGAAAAAAGCAGUUGAACUGGCUUCGAGGUCCAGAUUUGAAUUUGAGCAAUAUAGCCUAUUCAUACAUAAUAAAUCGUUAUUACCAUGUUAUACGUUGUUUAUGCUGGAUGAUGUCAAUAAAGAACUUGAGAACCCA
This is a long non-coding RNA of Oncorhynchus tshawytscha (Chinook salmon), 778 nucleotides long. NCBI's taxonomy places the organism in Eukaryota, Metazoa, Chordata, Actinopteri, Salmoniformes, Salmonidae. The record is from Ensembl.